This 648-nucleotide ribosomal RNA is filed under the name Triticum aestivum (bread wheat). RNAcentral describes it as "partial small subunit ribosomal RNA". Lineage: Eukaryota; Viridiplantae; Streptophyta; Magnoliopsida; Poales; Poaceae. The record is from RNAcentral.
CGUCGCCGGUAACGAGCGAGGAGUGGUUCGUUCUCGUAUUAAUUAGUUGGUGUUCAGGUAAACGCUUCGUGAGAGCGAGGCUAGUGUUGGGUUCUGGUGGUACCGACUGUUCACGCCGUUGACGCUGACGCGGCUGUUCUGGGUCACGCACUUCUUCCCGCUGUCGAUGCCGCAGCAGUAUCAACUGUGGCUCUUCUCCAUGGCGCAUGAUAAAGUGAAGUAGGUAGGCGGACAAGCCGAUCACCGAUCAAUCUCCUGUCUUUUUGAUCAGUCUAGCUACCGUUCAAUAGAUGCACGGCAGAGCCGUUCAAUAGCUCCACGUCCUCUGGCGCCUGUUGCUGCCGUUCACGUUCACGCCGUGGUCGACGUGGACGUGGUUGACGUGGACGCCGGUGAUUUCUCCGGAGAGCAGUGCAUGCGCAGAUGGGCAUGAUCAUUGGGCGGGGUUAUUUUCAGACAUGCACACACACAGAUGCAGAGAAGACAACAGCACGCUUUUGGACUUCCAAUCGACUACUACACACGCAUCCUAUAGCUUAGCCGCAACUAGCUAGGGCACAAGGGGACAUUGGUCACCGACUUGAAGUCCAACAUGAUGAUACACCAACACUCGGGCGUGCGAGACACGGUACACUGAAAGUAAAGCAC